Long non-coding RNA from Peromyscus maniculatus bairdii (prairie deer mouse), 10497 nucleotides. RefSeq lists it as uncharacterized. NCBI's taxonomy places the organism in Eukaryota, Metazoa, Chordata, Mammalia, Rodentia, Cricetidae. The record is from RefSeq and is a predicted model, not a curated record.
CAUUAUACAGGACACAGAGAGAAGUGACUGAGAGACUCUAGGCCUGUGGGCUGAAGACAGAUGCCCCAACUUUACAGAGGAAAUUUGGAUGACUGUUCAGACUGCCAGCUGUCUCUGUCUACACUUGAAAGACUCCUGAAAAUUGCUUGCAUCCUUCUCCCAUUUCUCAGCCUACUUUGCUGCCACAGGAGUGAAGACUCUCUGGAGACCCAGAACAAGUUCUCAGAGACUGAAGUGAAGCCUGGGGCUCCCAGCUCCCAGCUAAGCACAUGGCCAUCUUUUCUUGCCAAAUCACAUGCAUAGUUAAUCAUAUUAUUCUCUUCAUAUCAUUAUAGCUUAUCAUUUCUCUUCUCAUGAGAAAGGAGCUGAAAUCCUGCCACAAAAUCAGCAAAUGUCAACACUUGGCCUCAAUUCCACAGUCAUUCUCAGGUCCUUCUUGCUACCUUUCAUAGGACUAUCUCCUUAUUAUCUAGCCAUGGGAACAGCUGUUUCAUCCUCUAAGAAGAAAGUAACCAUGCUGGCAUUUUGAUCUUGGGAUUAUAAGCUGAAUGCUUACUAUUGGGGCCAGACUAUGCAGCAUGUUACUUCGCUGAACAUGAGUCUUAAGGGAAUUUAGAAAAUGGAAUAGCCUUUGAAAUUCUGAUCUGACAAUUCUGAGUGCAAAUUGGCUUCAUUUCUGUUGAUUCAUCUACAAAAGUCAAUAAUGGCAGAGAGACCUGAGAGCGCAGAUGGGGACUGGGCCACUACAGGAGCAUCCUGCUGACUUUCUGGGGCACAUCAUAAAGGCUCUUGGACUUUAUGGCUUCUCUAAAACAAACCCAGGAGCCAGCUUUUGUUUUCCUACCCAAACCAUUUGUCAUCCGUUUGUGGGAAGGGCUGAUAACAGCACACAUAGAACAGAAGCCGAAGCUUCAGUGGUAGCUUCCUCACAAAUAACCAAAGGCUGAAAGGCCACAGACAUGCUAGCUAGAAGCAAAGUCUAACAUGUUGUCCAUCUUCUCAUGUGCCAUGGGGAAAACAGCCUUCCUUUGAAUUUGAGGCGUCUAUUAGGUCAUGGACCUUGCUCAUCACUGCAUCUCACACUGUGCCCCCACCCCCUAUUUCCUUGGUAUUCUCUGGAGUGUUUUUGUGGGGAGGGACAUAGUGGGUUAGUAGUAGAUAUUUUGCCUUUCUUAUUAGUUGAUCAUUCCGAUGACCAGUCUUGACUGUCAGUUUGAUGAGAUUUAGAAUCACCACAGAAACAAAUCUAUUUGAGGUCUUUGAGGGAUUAUAUGGAUUAGGUAAAUCAAGCUAGGAAGAUCUACCCAAUAUAAGUGGUACUAUUCCAUGGACUGAACCCUAGACUGAGUAAGAAGGAAGAAGUAAGUAGAGCACCAGCAUCUCUGUCUGCUUCCUGACUGUGGAUGCCAUGUAAACAGCCAUGUCCUUUUCCUGUGGUCAUGCCUUCUUCACAACAAUGGAGUUUUAUACUCUGGAACCAUAAGUCAAAUUUAUCCUUCUCUCCUUAAGAUUGCUUCUGUCACACCAAAGAGACAAAUAACUAGUUUAAUCAAAUAUUGAGAGUGAAUAUCCCAGAAAGGCCAGUUAUAUUUACCACACAGCAAAACUCUUAAGAGAAUUGUUUUUGCUGAAGUUUAGAGGUUGUUAUUUUGGGGCUUUAAACACUGAUAUAAAAAACUGUCAUGUUUGAUUUGCUUUAUGUUAACAUCCUUGGGUGUCUGUGGCCUACUUAAAGUGACUACAGCAGUGGAUCAGAGCAUUCAUGACGCUGCUAAAAGCCAGAUUUCAUUAAAGCUAAAUGAGACCAUACUCUUGGCAAGUUGAUAGAAAUUCACAUUUGCUUACCAUUUUAAAUGGGGAUUUUAGCUGCAACGGAUUGAAGAACACACAAGGCACCAAACUUGGUGAUUAUUUGUGAUAAAAUCCUAUUCAAAUACUGCAAUGUUAACUAACUUAAAAAAAAAAGAGAAGGUAUUGCCAAAUUUAAGGUGCCAAUGUGAUUUUUAUUGUUGUUUGUUGUUUUCCAAGGCUUAUAAUUGUUUCCAUUUUAGUUUCUCUUUCCUGAAAUGUCUUCAUUUUGUUAUAAUAUUCCUAUAUCAUAAGUGAGGGUCAGGGUGAAGAAAGUAAACAAACCAAAAUAAUUAAACAUUCUAUUUAAAAAUUUGCAAAUACAAGCAUCUCACUGUAAAGACUCUUGCUAGAAUCUUGCUGGUAAGACCUGAUUCCCACUCUGGGUCAGUUCUGCUGUCAGUGAGCUCACAUCAUUCACUAGAAGCUACAAAAGACAGCUUGCUAGAAUCAGGGGCAGUUUCCACCUCAAGGAAUUCCUUCCCUGGCACAAAUCUUUUUGAUUAAACAGAUAAACACAUGCAAUUCUUAAAAGUUUUCAAAAUCAAUCAAGAGACACUCAAUUGUGAAAAUUCCCUUUUAGACUAAUUACACUUUUCAUUAGGCCAGGGACUACCAUAGCACAGAUAUGUCAUUGCUUGUCAUGGUUUUGGUACAUCAAAUAAUAGAAUAAUCAAUCAUCUCCAUUCUUAGAGAAUGGCAUAAUCAAAGGUAUUAUGGAGGCAACUGGAUUCAUUCUCUCAAAGUGGCUGAACAAUUACAGUGAUUGUCAAUUGUUAACUCUGGCUAAGUAGCUAAUGACCACGAGUGUUUUCCUAACAACCUGCAAAAUAAAAUUGUUGCUUUUUCCUCUCUCAGGAACAGAGCAGGGUCACAGAAGACUAACUUGGCUUUCCAGUUGUUUUAAGAGAAUUCUGAAAUUUCCAAAUCCAUUAAAAAACAAAACAACAAAAGUAGUUUACUUCAAGAAGACCACUAGCUCACAGCUAUGUAUUACCCAGCCCUAAUAUGCCAGAUGCACAUGUUUGAAUUACACGUAGUUCAAAGGUAAACUGUUUUUGUUCAGCUUCAAAGCAAAAGAAAUGGACAAUUCAUUAUUUAAAUGUUUAUUCUGCUCUUACUUUUGGGAUGUCUUUGCCCUGACUUUAUGGGAACUUGAUAAUUCCUAGGGCAGUCCAUUUCCUCUAGGAUCCCUCUGGGGACGAGUACAGGUCUCUCUCCUGCAGUUCACCGACAGGGAAACGGGAUCGCCAAGCUAUAGUUAGCUCAGUACUGCCCGUGCCAAUCCUUUCAGCCCAGCUUCUUAACUGCAGCAUCAAGACGACUGCUGUGUUUUAGCAUCAGUUAAAGAUCAAACCCCAGCUUCUGUCCUGCACUCUUAGGACUUCCAGCAAGGGCAGGGUUAUCUUUUAUUCAUCCUAUGUAUCUUAAGAUCUCAGAAUAGUGUCUACAACACAGAUGAUAUUCAUACACCCUAUGUAUCCUAAGGCCUCAGAACAGUGUCUACAAUAAAGUUGAUAUCCAUACAUCCUAUAUAUCCUAAGGCCUCGGAAUAGUGUCAACAAUACUGUUGACAUCCAUAACUUUUGUUUUCAGAUUGAUUUCUUUGGUUCCUUUGAUGUCUGUUUUCUAGGACUUGCUUGAAUCUCUCAAUAUUUUUGAAAUCUGAGUUUUACCCCAAACGUUCUUCUCUAGUUUUCCAGAUGGCCUGCCACUUGAUCAGACACAUCCAUGUUCACUCUGUUCUUGGAUACCGAGGCUGUCUGUUUCCAGACACACCAUGACUAACAGUGUGUUAAGAACUUUCAAAGGCACUCAUUAUCCUCUCCUCUGUGUGAGGCAGUAGGUAUGGUUCCAAAUGCACAGACCCCCAAACAGAGGCCCAUGAGAGAAAGGCAGGGAUUUCCUGAACUCAUCCCAUCCCUUAUAAGGAGGUCUUUGUUCUGUAGCCAAAGAUACAGAGGUUGGAUAGAAAAGAGCAGCAGCAGAGUCUCCUAAGAGCUGGGCUUGUGGGAGUGAUUGUGGAAUAGGCAGAAAUGGAUUAGCUUUGCUUUGAGUACAGCUCUUGACAGAUUGUUCAGAAGAGCAGGUUGGGCCCUGUGGAACAUCUGCUGCCAGAGGCAGUCUGCAGGUUUCCUCCUAUGGAGGGUGGGCUGAAGUGGCUCAGGGGAUCUCUGAGAGGACGAGGUGUGUGUGACUGGGGGCUGUUGAGAUUGUCGCAGUCAGCAGUGCCCUUUCUGUACAGCUGCUUUGACAGCAAAUCCUGGGUGCUUUAAUUUCUCCGAUACUGUGGCCUUUCCAGGCAACCUAAGCAUGGCUCCUAUGGGGUAUAUAACACCCCAUGCCAAAGCAGUCCUCUGCUAGCUCAAUCUUCCUCCUGCCCCAUCACCUGAGGCUGAAAUGGCCUUCUUUCUUGAUACUGUGAACCACUAGUGUCUUCUGUUCAGCCAGGUUUGGGUGCUGCCUCUUCCAGGUGGAUUGAACUUGACUGACAAAGAAUGAGGCAAAAUAAUAGGUACUCUGUGACUUUGAUGGACUUGGUAUCUGUCACCCAAGGGCAGACCUGUCUGGAGGCCUGUGUGUAUUCCACACUAGCUUCUGCUCUGCUGUGACUUGUCAUGCUGGGCAAAAGUCCUUGUUAUAUCCCACUGUGGUAUCCAGGAAACAAGGUACAGCUGUCAGAAAUAGACAGGGGCCAAAGCCUUGAUAUUGUCAGGUCAGGUGAAGAGGGAGCGCAUCCUUACAGGCCAGAAAGAAGCUCUUGAGCACCUUUGAAGGUUUUGUUUGUCUUUCAGAAGCACUAAAAGAUAAUGACAAGCCUUGAGAACAUUUGGUGUCAAGUGUGCACAAAUGCUGAACUGUGAAAGAAAUUCCUGAAGUCACGAGAUAAGAGUAAAACCAUCUUCAUUUCUGGAAAUGGGAUGGCAGGUGCUGAGCCCAUGGGCUAGAGCCAGUCCUGGGGUGAAAGAGGGUGUUUUCAUUCUGAGAUCAGUGCAUGUGGUAAGGGAAUACUGCUCACUGCCACCCAAACCUACACUUUGUUGAACAUCUUGUCAGGCUGUGAAUAGCCACGAGUUUGGGGAACAGGUCCUGAGUGGGUGCUAGAUGUGAAGGAGGAGUCAGGCUCCUAAGCAGACUGCUUCAGCAUUACGAAACUUCGUUUCCUUUCCUGGCAAACCCCACCAGCAAUGAGACACUAACAAUGCCCAGUAAUUGCAACACUUAAUAUAUUCCGGAGAUGUAGUUAAAUAGUUUAUAGUCACGAUUCCAAGGAAUUUUCAGACCAACCCAUGAUAUCAGUACAGAGAUUGACAGGAAGAGGUAGCAACAGUUGUGCAGGUGGGCAUACACACACACACACACACACACACACACACACACACACACACACACACACACAAAUAACACAUAUGUACAGUUAGCAAGGAUCAGGAAGAAUUGUAUCCCUAAGGUGACAUACAGCUGCCAAUUAAACCACCCAGAGAAGAGAAUACAUGGACUUUCUGGAUCCUUGAAAUUCAGCAUUUUUUUUUUGUCAUUCUUCUGAGAUAGUCUUAACCAUCUAGUCCAGGCCAGCCUUGAACUCAUGAUCUUUUUGCCUCUGCCUUUUAGAGUGCUGGUACUACAAAUAUGUACCCUAUGCCUAGCAUGGGAGUUUUUCAAAGCUCUUCUCAUAUUACCAUUCUAGAAACUAUGUAACAUUAGUCCCAGAUGUACUGGCUUACACCAUAUGCCAUCCCAGAAAGUAGGCAGCAAUCUCUAACUAUAGAUGUUAUAAAUAGCAGACUCUGCUAGUGUUGAGCCAGCCAGUCUCCAAGAAGCCUUAGCCUCACCCCUGGAUGCAGCCCUGACCUUCAACCUUCUGUAGGGUGCCAAAACCUCAGCUCCCACCUCAUCUCAAUGUUCCAGUGAAGGAGCACUGGAACCAGCAUUUGAGCUUAGUCAGAAGUCCUGACAGCAGACCCAUUCCCAGAUUUCCUGGAAAGCGAGGUAGAAGAGGGUGAAGCACAUGGGACCGACCUGUCCAGGGAGGAAAGGGUGUUCUCACUUUGAGACUUAUGCAUGUGGCAGGGGACAGUCUGCUCACCUCUGUUGAAACCCAGGAUCUACCAAACAUAUUUCUAGACCAUUCAUUAGUGUGUUAGUCUAAUAUUCAAACCCUUUGUACCUGGUUGCCAUUCCUUCUAUUAAGAAGCACUCUUUUCAAUAGCCUUUGGAGGUACAGGCACCAACAGAGCUCCUGGCUAAAAUGCCUUUGUGGAAUGUAACCCAGGCUUGCCAAUGAAGGUAGGGUUCCCUUGGGGCAAGAGGAAAGGAAGGCCGGUGCAUGUCAGCAGUCACAGAGCUGCGUUUCAGAUUGAAUUCUGAAGGCCUUCCCAUUUAUAAACUCUUUGUUCUAGAUUCUUAGCCCUACAAACAGAAUGCCUUUGCAGUUUGUCAUCCCUGGAGCUUCUUGUGGACAGCGUCUGCAUACCACCUCGCUUCCUAGGUUUAGCUCUUCAUCAGGCCCUGCCCCACCUCCUUUCCCAUAAGACAUCUCAACUUCCACUCUCCGUGUUUGUCUCCCCUUGUCACUGAACUGCAGCACAUCUCAGAUCCGUCCAAACAGCUGUGCUGCAACCUGCCCGCAGGCUUUUCCAGCAGCCUCAUUCCUAGGAGACAGCUUGCUCAUGGUUCCAGAGCAUGAUCUGAUUGGAUUCAUAGUGUCCUGCACUAAAAUAGACAUUAUAAUCCCCUCCAUUUUCUGAGCAGGAAGAAACAAGUGUGUUCUUUUCAUUAAGGACACCAUGCUUCCAGGAAGUUAUUUUUCGAAUUAAGAGAAAUUUAGAGGUGGCCAGAAUAUUACUGAAAAUCCAUUAAAGGUCAAUGAAGUACAGAAUUCAUGAAUUGCUGGUAUGAAAACAUGUUUGGCACAGUCAGUCCCACACAGCAGCUCUUCUUCCCAUAACACCCGUGUAGGUCUCCAGUAAAAAAAAAAAAAAAAAAAAAAAAAAAUGAAGCCAGAGCAAAGGAAGGAACAAAUCUAUGUACAAAUGAGAGAGUUUUCAAGUGAGCCACAUUUGAGAUAACUACUAACUCUCCCGACGCCCUGGGAGGUGCUGGGCAGCAGUUCAAGCAUCCUUUCUUGCUGCCAUUUGAUCUCCCACUAUCCCAAAGACUCUAGUUCUUGGUGCAGAUUUCUUUGUCAGCAGGACUAGUUUAGAUGGUGAAGCCAUAGCUAAUAAGCAGAGGAGGGGGUCCUGAGUAGUUGGUGUCCUUAGAUGAGUAAAAAUAAAAUGUCAUCAUUCUGUUCAUCCCAUAUUAAAUUCUUUAAGACACUUUAUUACAUUUUUUGUGUAUGGCUAUGAGCACAUGAGUACAUGCUAUAUCAUGUGUGUUCAGAAGACAAUUUGAAGAGAGCUGGUUCUCUCCUUGCACCAGGUCUUCCUGGGGAUGGAUCCAGUUGCCUUGGUAACAGCAGUCUUUACCUCCUGAGUCAUCUCAUCAGCACUAUUCCAUUUUAGAGAUAUAGAAACUGAGGUUCAGAAAGACCAACUAAUUCACUUAAGGCCACCCAACUAGAAAGCAUCAUACCUAGAUUUAAAUGUGAAUCCAUUUCACUCCCAUUCUAGAGUCCUGAAAGUGCUAAGUACACCACAUAUUCAUGGCUAGACCUUUGGUGUGAUAUGAAGAGUGUAAUGGGAUGGAAUGGACAGCCACUCUGUUGUCCUGAAGGACACACACACACACACACACACACACUUUCCUUCAAACCAUCCUCAGUGCCCACUUCUGGCCAUAAGACAGUGUUACCAUCACAAGUUCACACAGUGCCAACUGUCGGGGAGCUGGGUGGCCUUCUCAGCUUCCUACUCUUGGCAUCUUGAUUCCUUUUUCUCUGACAUAUACUGCUUGGCCAUCCUUUUUUUAUUAUUCCUUUUUAGUCUAUAAUAUUCCAGUGUGUCAGAUGAAGUCCAGAGAAGUAACAGUACAGCAUCAUAGGCUGAAGUGAGAAUAUUUCUUGCCAACUCAAAUUAUUUAUGAUCGAACAGUUAACCAGUCACUCAACUUGAGGAUUUUGGUACCAUAGGGCUGUUUUAUUAGCCUCAGCAUAAAGAUGCCUUGUACAUAAACAACAUUUAUUGUGCCAGUCUGCUAGCUGGCUUGUUAAAACAAUGUUGUGUCAGGACAGGAUGGUUCUAAGAGAAACAGAAAUGAAGUUCUGUGCUGUUUGCUUCUGAAUUAACACACCUGGUCCCCUCAUGGAACACACACACACACACACACACACACACACACACACACACACACACACACACACACACAGCCUGUGUGUUCACACAAAGACUGUUUCCUGAGAUCCCUCUAUAUGCCCUAAAAACAUGGGAAAUACAAAGGAGGUAAGAGCAUCCUUGUAAUAGUGAGGCUUACAUGCUAACAUGAGGGAACCAAACAGUCAGGAAUGUCAUCACUGUAAGCAUAGAAGAGCACACUGGGGACCAGCUCCUCUGGGCUACGAUGGUCCCACAUAUAUCAUAUGGGUGACAUCUGAGAAAAACUGAAUGGAGUAGGUGAAGAAUAUUCUAAAAGAGCAAAUAGGAAAGGCAAAGGCAUUAUUAAAUAAUUUAAAGAGAGGUUAGGAGGCUGUGUCUGAAGGAAAGUAAGAAGAGGGGCAAAGCAGGGAAAUAGAGGCAGAGGGAAGUCUGAAGAGCAGGAUAAGUGGCCUCAGUAGUGUCACAGAUAGGCGAGGGUCUUUGGCAUUUGGUGAAUAGGAGAGUGAAUAAAUGAGUUGACUGCUGGAUGAUUUUUUUAAAAAGAGCUGGUUCUGUGCAUAUGUUAGGGAGGAUAGAAGCCAUCUUCUCUGGAACCCACCAUUUAUAGCAGCCACUAGUUGGUGAAUGCUUGCAAUGUGCCAAGUCACCUAGAGGCAUUCUGUGGAUAUAAUUUACAUUAUCCCAUGUCAUCAUCCUGGGGACAAAGACAUAAUUCUUUUCUCUGUGCUGGGAAUGGAGGCAAGCGCAGUAUCGGAGGAACUUGCACAAGAUAAAAAAAAAUGCUUAGUGGUAGAGCCAGGGCCAUAUCUCCACCCCUCUGAACAGAAGCGUUGGGCUCUAGACUCCUGGAGCUACUGGGUCCGUGGCCAGGAAGAUGUAUCUGGUUUAACAUAAAGACGUAACUUGCAAGAGGCUAGAACUGCUGAGAAACAGAGCUGGGUCUUGGAAUGCACCCAAGUGGAUCCCAGGCCAGGGUGCAAGAUAGACAGGGAGCUGCAGCGUCCUCCCAUGCACAGUACUGAAGCCCCCUGAGACCUUGUUUGGGAUUAAAGAAAAACAGAUUGCUCCAAACAACAGGGACAUAAAUAUAGGCAGCUGCAUUUAAGCUCCCAAGUCCAGAAGUCCCUCAAAAUCUCAGCUCUUCAUUUGGGCUUUGGUUUCUAAUGGUGUAGAAAGAGAUACCAGAUGAAAUUCAGUAUUUUCCACUUUUAUGUGCUUUUAAAGCAACUCUAAGUAGUCACAGAUACCUACCACCCUGUUUUCUUUUGUGUUUUUCAGUCCUGGGAAAAAAAAACUUUGAAUCCAGGACUCUGUGCAUGCUAGGCAAGUAUUCCACCACGGAGCUACUACAUGCCAGCCCCAGAUACUGGCCUCUAAAUAAAGUCUAAGAAUUUCAAUAGUUGUGAAAUAUAUAGAUUGUAGAGUUUUUUGCUGUUUUGAGACAAGGCCUCACUACGUGACCCAGGCUGGCUUCAAACUCAUGAUUCCUGUGCCUCUGCCUCUGGCAUUCCAUAUUCCACAUGGCAGCUUAAAUGCAGCUACUUAUAUUUAUGCCCCUAUUAUUUGAAGCAAUCUUUUCUUUUUCUUAAAACACAAACACAAUAAAUACCAAAUGGAUUUAAAGGCUUCAGGGGUAUAUAAAAAUAAUUAACCAUCUCCUCUUUCCCUUCCUCAACCUAAUUUUAACAUUAAUCAUUAAAUGCACAUUUCCAACUUCUCUGUCCUUUAAUUUUUAAAAUUAAUACUAUAAGGAAAUCUCCAAACAUAGAUUGACAUGUUUCUGAUAUUACUUAUUUUUUUCUUUUUUAUUGAAAAUAGAUUUUUUUCCAUACAAUAUAUUCUGAUCACAGUUUCCCCUCUCCCAGCUCCUCCCAAGAUCCUCCCAACCUCCCCACCCACCUCAAUCCAUACUCUUUCAUUGUCUUUCUCACUAGAAAACAAGCAGGAAUCUAAAAAAAUUAAAGUAAAUUAAAACAAACAAACCAGAAUAUGACAAAACAAACAGGAAAAAAAAAAACGAGCCAAAGAAAAAGCACAAGAAACACACAGAGAUGCAGAGACACAUUUCAUAGUUGCUUAAUAUUGUUUAAAAAAAUAAAUUUAAAAUUUCAUCUUUAUCUUGUGCACAUGCUGAGAUGUACUCAUGAAGCUCAGAGGACAACUGGAGGUAGUUAGGUCUCUCCCUCGACAACAUGGGUCCCAGGAAUCAAACUCAGCUCGUCAGGUCCGGCAGCAAGCUCUUUCUUCCACUGAGCCGACUCUCCAACACAGCAGCUUAAUGUUCUACUUCUUCGAUGUAGCAAUCUGUCUCCCUGUGUCCUGUGUGCCUUCAUGUUAUUCCUCAUAAUUUUUAUUGCUAUCAAUAAAGUUACAAUAAAAAUUCUUCUAAAGCAUA